Molecule: long non-coding RNA, 777 nt
Organism: Gorilla gorilla gorilla (western lowland gorilla)
Lineage: Eukaryota; Metazoa; Chordata; Mammalia; Primates; Hominidae
Exons: 5
Source: RefSeq, a predicted model, not a curated record
CUUGCAAAAGUGUCAUUAAUAAUUUCAAGGGGGAAAUAGAUGAAUGUAUUUAUAUUGGAAAUUCAAAAAACCAUAUAUAAAGAGGCAAAAUUAUGUGCCCUUGAGAAAUAGGAAUUCCUUUCCGAAAUGAGAACAUUUUCAGAAUCAUUAUGGUAAUCACCAUUUUGCAUUCAGUGGGGACAUAUUUAUGUUUGCAGUGUUUUAAAGCUUGACUCAAAUGUAGCUGCUAACAAAGCAUAUCUUUGCCUGUCGAGCUCUCAUGGACUCUCUCGUCUUCUAAUUGCCCAGUGAAAGUGCAGCAUCAAGAUGCUUGGGCAACAGCUAAUCGUUCAUAAGUGCUGGAAGCAGGAGAGCUUUUACAGAAUGAACAGCAAUCAAAUAUGAAAUCCAAAGAUGAAGGAAAAGAAAAUAAUGCUCUUUGAAGAGUCAGGACAGGAGAAUUACUAAUGCAAUGGGAGGUUUCAAAAGAAGCGAUGUUUUCAACUAAACUAUAGAAACAGCAAGAAAGUUAUCUGUGUUUUCUAGCUUCCAGGAAGAAAACCUUUGACCAGCCUGUUACCAUCAGAGAUUCUGUGAGAAGACAUUAUAAAAGCUACUUCCCGUAUGCAUAAUAUUUAUUAUUUGCCUAAGUAUUUCCUCCAAAUAUUAAUGUAAUCUGCUUGCCUCAUAAAAAGAACAAAUGCCAAAUACUUCUUUUAUUAUUUUAGCUUACAUCCUAUCCUGGCAACAGACAUGGUUAAGUAGGUUAUUUCUAUGCCCUUUCCUCUGAGUCCCACC